CACGUAGGAGACGAGCGUUAUCCGGAUUUACUGGGUGUAAAGCGCGUGUAGGCGGCGAGGAAAGUUGGAUGUGAAAACUCCUGGCUUAACUGGGAGAGGUCGUUCAAGACUGCCUGGCUAGAGUGCAGCAGAGGGGAGUGGAAUUCCCAGUGUAGCGGUAAAAUGCAUAGAUAUUCGGAAGAACACCAGUGGCGAAGGCGGCUCUCUGGGCUGCAACUGACGCUCAGACGCGAAAGCUAGGGGAGCGAACGGG
This 253-nucleotide ribosomal RNA is filed under the name uncultured bacterium. RNAcentral's name for it is "partial 16S ribosomal RNA". It matches the Rfam family "Bacterial small subunit ribosomal RNA", at positions 524 to 776 of the family's 1533-position model. The record is from RNAcentral.